GUAAAUAUAGUUUAAACAAAACAUUAGGCUGUGACCCUAUUAAUGAAAGUUUAACCCUUUCUAUAGACC
This 69-nucleotide transfer RNA is filed under the name Pseudotriton ruber (red salamander). Its description in RNAcentral is "tRNA-His". It matches the Rfam family "tRNA". From Rfam's summary of the family: Transfer RNA (tRNA) molecules are approximately 80 nucleotides in length. Their secondary structure includes four short double-helical elements and three loops (D, anti-codon, and T loops). The record is from RNAcentral. Lineage: Eukaryota; Metazoa; Chordata; Amphibia; Caudata; Plethodontidae.